This is a long non-coding RNA of Leopardus geoffroyi (Geoffroy's cat), 1825 nucleotides long. RefSeq lists it as uncharacterized. Lineage: Eukaryota; Metazoa; Chordata; Mammalia; Carnivora; Felidae. The transcript has 2 exons. The record is from RefSeq and is a predicted model, not a curated record.
UCAGCGGCUCUUCAUUCUGGCCUCAAGCAGGAGAAGGAUCAUGGCUACGUCUCCACUUACCUCCUGGAGCCCGACAAGGAACCCUUAAGUGGGGUCCAGGAAUCUGCCUUUUGAAACAGCUUCCUUCCGUAAUACAGCUACAAGGACCGCGUGGACAGCACCCCGCUCAGCCGCUCAACCAUAAAUUCCAAAGGGACCAGGGACAAAGUCUUCCUGAUAGGAUGUUCUGGCCCCGAGUCCCGGCUCUUGCGACUUUGCAGCCACCUGACUUUGGACAGUUUCCUUUUUCUGGCCUCAACUUUCUUGUCUGUACGCUCAGGAGGUUGAGUUAGAGCAAUGUUUUCAAACUGGGCUCUGUCAUACCUCAGGGGAUUGCACCUUGGCUGCCCACCUCCAUUAAUCCAUUUAGCAAAUAUUCAUGGCACCGGGCGGAUACCGGGGGUGUUCCAGGGUCAGCGAUUAAUUAUCAUGAUGGGCGUUCUUUCCAAAGAAGUGCGACAAGGGGUAAGAGGGAGCUCACAAAGACGGCUUACGUUGUGCGUGUCCUUCCGCUUGAAUUGCCGUUUGGACAAACUGCUCCCGGGAUUGAAACUGCUGGCUUAGAUCAUCUUAAGGGUCCUUGCGGCAGGAAACCUUUUGUUCUGUGAUGUUUCUUCGAUGAUUUUAUUUCUGAGCAACGUCAAAACAAGGAGAAUGCAAUUACUGGGUGUGAAAUCCGUCAGGGGCCCCCCAGGUUAACCCUUUCGUUCUGGAAAAGAAACUUCAGGCUCUUUAGAAGGUUUUCUGACAGUGAAGAACCAGCACCUUAACCUGGGAAACUGAGUGAAAGGCAGACUGGGAAGCUGCAAAGCAGCCCUGCCUGCUUGUGGAGGAAACAGCAGGCGGGGCGGGGGCGGGGGGCUCUGGACCCAGGAGCUUUCCCGUUUUUGUCUGCAGAAUGGGCAGAUGUACCUGGCCCCCAGAGUUGUUUUAAGGAGACAGAUUAUAUAUACAAAAUUAGUAGCUCAGUGCCAGAUACUUAGUAAGCAUUCAAUAAAUGAUGGCCAUUAUUAAUUUAAGUAUCUUUCUUAUGCAUAUUAUACUUGUCAACAUUCCUGCAAAUGUUUUAUAGAUGAGAAUGGAAAAGUACUCAGGAUGGGAGCUGCCAAAUAUCAGGGUUCUGCCAGGCCAACUGCAUCUCUGGGGGAAGAAAACCCUGUAAUUCCCUCUUCUUGAAACUACAUGCCCAUGGUGGCGGCCUUGAAAUUCUGAGUGUCCCUCCGCCCCAUGCCUUCCCCACAGCGCUGCCCCCCCCCCCCCACCAAAGGAGAGCAAGUUACUUUUCUCAGUAGAAAGCAAGCCAAUACCCAAAUUUGGGAUAGGUUUCCACAUUGAGGUAGAAUAAAGAUGACAGCCGUAAAUGUUGCGGAGAAAUUACAAAGAAGCCCUGAAAUCAUUCCUUUGUAUUUUUUGUAGUUGAACGCCCUAACUUUCCUUGAGACUAAACAUGCGUGCAUCUUUUAUUCUCUCUCUGGCUGGAUCCUUAGAACAGUACAGAGACUGAACACAGUUGGGAACACUUCUAUCACUUAGUUUAUGGGGUGCGACUCCACAUCUGAGCUUGGGGAAAACAUGUGGCCACAGCUUCCUUAUGUCUAAACUGAGGAUAACGAUAGACUUCACCCUCUAGGAUAAAUAGGGUGGUUAUUAGCCAUGCACACAGUAAGUGCACAGUACGUUAACUAUUGUUAUUUUCGCGUGUAUUGAUUUACUCGGUGUUUUGGUGCUCACUUAUGUAUUUUCAACUACAGACUCAUAAAAUAUAAAUUAACGUUAGCUUCUUGCA